Vicugna pacos (alpaca) is the source of this 1203-nucleotide non-coding RNA. Lineage: Eukaryota; Metazoa; Chordata; Mammalia; Artiodactyla; Camelidae. The record is from RefSeq and is a predicted model, not a curated record.
UGAGGUUCCCAGAGCGGCUCCCCUGGGCGCUGGGCCUACAGACCCCUCGUCAGCAGGAGAGACCUCCCAACACGUGGGAAACGCAAGCUGAGCUGUGCGCCACAGGCCUGCGCGGAAGGCCUGCGUCCGGGAGGAGCGAGAUCUUUUAGGAUCUAAUCUCCUUGGGGGCCUGGUGACCUUCCUGUUUCUCUGAGUUCAGAACAUCCAAGAGGAAGCCUUUUGCCUAUUUGAACUUCCAGUUUGGAAGCCCCUGCUGAGAGGCUGUGUCUAAAUUUCAGUCUGUCCCCUGGGGUGCAGAGAUCUUGCGGUCUUUUGGACCUUGCCUCUUUUUGUCCCUUGUGGGUUCUCGUUCCUUCAUUUCCAGCCUAUUUACUUUUAAAAUAAACCUUGUGGUAACCGGGUCUCUGUCAAGGGCAAAAACUCGCGUCCCUGUGGUUCCCCAGCUAGAAAGCUCGCGGUAAGGGGCCCUCUGCGGAAGCGGCUGCGUUGAUUGUCCCCUCAGCGACCGGAGACUGGGAGGAACCUCGUAUUUGCCAAAACAUCAAGGCUUUAAAAUAGCUUCCACUGGAAAUGUUCUUUCUUUUAUCUCCCAUGCUUCUUUUCACAGGGAGACUAAAGUCUAUACGAAGAGGACAUCGAUGGAAAAUUCUUCCUGUUCUCGGAGAAGGACCUGGAACCAUCAGCCUCCUCUCUCAGGACCGUGGGAACCACCUGCACCAGUUCUGAGAGGCUGAGGUAGAAACUCCAGGAGACUGUGAGGUUGUGGGGCUUCUGUAACAGACGGGAUGUUACACAGACUGGCUGGGAUCAAGCAACCACACACCAGGUGGUGUAAACAACAGAAAUAUUCUGGAGGCUGGAAGUCCGAGACCAAGGUGUGGGCAGGUUAAGGAAAAUGUCAUCCAACCUACAGCCAAGAAAGGAGCUGUGAUCAACUGGAGGGGACUCAGAGGGCAUUUUCCAACAGCCUGGCGCAAACAGACUAUACCCCACACGUACCGGGGCAGCCAGCCCUGCUCCCCGAGGUGCUGCGGUCAGUCUCCAAGCGUGGGGGCUGAGCCCCUGUGCCCCGUCCACCUUCCUCCCCCCACUGUGUCCCGGUCUCCAUCACCCCUUUCCUCCUGACACCUCGCUCUGCCAGCACGGUCUUGGAUCACUGUUUCAACUUCCUUCUGAAAUAAAUCCUCUAUUUGAUUUCAAAAA